GAAAGUAAGCAAGGGCAGACGGUGGAUGCCUUGGCUCUCGGAGGCGACGAAGGACGUGAUAAGCUGCGAAAAGCCCGGGGGAGGCGCAAAUAGCCCUUGAUCCCGGGAUAUCCGAAUGGGGCAACCCGGCAGGCUGAAGGCCUGUCAUCCCGUAAGGGAGGCGAACGUGGGGAACUGAAACAUCUAAGUACCCAUAGGAGGAGAAAAUAAACAAUGAUUCCGUAAGUAGUGGCGAGCGAACACGGAAGAGCCCAAACCCAUGUCGUCUAGGCGACACGGGGGUUGUAGGACCACGACGUGGCAAGAUAGAGUCAAGUGGAACGCCUUGGAAAAGGCGACCGUAGAGGGUGAUAGUCCCGUACACGACUGACGAUUGAAGCCUAGUGGUAUCCUGAGUAGCGCGGGGCACGAGAAAUCUUGCGUGAAACAGCGGGGCCCAUCCCGUAAGGCUAAAUACUCCCGAGAGACCGAUAGCGAACCAGUACCGUGAGGGAAAGGUGAAAAGAACCCCGAGCAGGGGAGUGAAAUAGACCCUGAACCCGUCUGCCUACAAGCGGUCGGAGCGUCGUAAUGACGUGACGGCGUGCCUUUUGCAUAAUGAACCUACGAGUUACCUUCCCCGGCAAGGUUAAGUACCUAAGGUACGGAGCCGAAGCGAAAGCGAGUCUGAAGAGGGCGGCCAGUCGGGGGGGGUAGACGCGAAACCGAGUGAUCUACCCUUGGCCAGGUUGAAGGUUGGGUAACACCAACUGGAGGACCGGAUGGGUAAGCGUUGAAAAGCUUUCCAAUGAGCUGAGGGUAGGGGUGAAAGGCUAAUCAAACUCGGAGAUAGCUCGUACUCCCCGAAAUGCAUUUAGGUGCAGCCUCUUUAUAGUAUAUCGUGAGGUAGAGCGACUGAUUGGAUGCGAGGGCUUCACCGCCUAUCAAGUCCAGAUAAACUCCGAAUGCGCGAUAUAUAUUUACAGGGAGUGAGGGCGCGGGUGCUAAGGUCCGUGUCCGAGAGGAGAAGAAUCCAGACCACCGGCUAAGGCCCCCAAAUGAUCGUUGAGUUGAACUAACGAGGUCGGAUCGCAGAGACAGCUAGGAUGUUGGCUUGGAAGCAGCCAUUCAUUUAAAGAGUGCGUAACAGCUCACUAGUCGAGCGAUCUGGCGUGGAUAAUAAUCGGGCAUAAACGAUCUGCCGAAGCCGUGGAUGUCGCAAGACAUGGUAGGGGAGCAUUCCAUGCGGCGUCGAAGAUGAGGGAUGACCCUUGUUGGAGCGCAUGGAAAAGCAAAUGUAGGUAUGAGUAACGAUAAGGGGGGCGAGAAACCCCCCCGCCGAAAGACCAAGGUUUCCUGAUCAACGCUAAUCGGAUCAGGGUGAGUCGGGACCUAAGGCUAAGCCGAACGGCGACGCCGAUGGAAGAAUGGGUUAAUAUUCCCAUACUGCCUCAUGGAGUGACGUGGAGACGGAGAAGUGACAGUCCUGCCGGCUGACGGAAUAGCCGGUUGAAGGGUGUAGGAGUCGAUCAUGGUAGGCAAAUCCGCCGUGAGAUCCGAACCUGACAGUAUACCGAGUACUUGUACGAGGUAAUAUGGACGUAACCAUGCUCCCAAGAAAAUCCGCUAAACUUAUCCAUGCGGCACCCGUACCGUAAACGGACACACGUGGUCGGGUUGAGAAUACUGAGGCGCUCGAGUGACUCACGGUUAAGGAACUAGGCAAAUUGACCCUGUAACUUCGGGAUAAAGGGUCCUCGUCGUAAGGCGAGGCGCAGAGAAUAGGUCCAGGCAACUGUUUAACAAAAACACAUGGCUAUGCUAAAUGGAAACAUGACGUAUAUAGCCUGACACCUGCCCGGUGCUGGAAGGUUAAGAGGAGAUGUCAUCGCGAGAGAAGCGUUGAAUUGAAGCCCCAGUAAACGGCGGCCGUAACUAUAACGGUCCUAAGGUAGCGAAAUUCCUUGUCG
This 1949-nucleotide ribosomal RNA is filed under the name human gut metagenome. RNAcentral's name for it is "bacterial LSU rRNA". It matches the Rfam family "Bacterial large subunit ribosomal RNA", at positions 1 to 1974 of the family's 2925-position model. The record is from RNAcentral.